GACGAACGCUGGCGGCGUGCUUAACACAUGCAAGUCGAACGGAAAGGCCCUGCUUUUGUGGGGUGCUCGAGUGGCGAACGGGUGAGUAACACGUGAGUAACCUGCCCUUGACUUUGGGAUAACUUCAGGAAACUGGGGCUAAUACCGGAUAGGAGCUCCUGCUGCAUGGUGGGGGUUGGAAAGUUUCGGCGGUUGGGGAUGGACUCGAGGCCUAUCAGCUUGUUGGUGGGGUAGUGGCUUACCAAGGCUUUGACGGGUAGCCGGCCUGAGAGGGUGACCGGCCACAUUGGGACUGAGAUACGGCCCAGACUCCUACGGGAGGCAGCAGUGGGGAAUAUUGCACGAUGGGCGGAAGCCUGAUGCAGCAACGCCGCGUGCGGGAUGACGGCCUUCGGGUUGUAAACCGCUUUCGCCUGUGACGAAGCGUGAGUGACGGUAAUGGGUAAAGAAGCACCGGCUAACUACGUG
This 468-nucleotide ribosomal RNA is filed under the name uncultured bacterium. RNAcentral's name for it is "partial 16S ribosomal RNA". It matches the Rfam family "Bacterial small subunit ribosomal RNA", at positions 28 to 507 of the family's 1533-position model. The record is from RNAcentral.